RNAcentral lists this ribosomal RNA (243 nucleotides) under Triticum aestivum (bread wheat). Its description in RNAcentral is "partial small subunit ribosomal RNA". Lineage: Eukaryota; Viridiplantae; Streptophyta; Magnoliopsida; Poales; Poaceae. The record is from RNAcentral.
AUGAACUCAAGGGGCACAAAUGAGAGUGAUACAUUGUAUUGUGUCUAUGUUGCAAUUGGACAAAAACGCUCGACUGUGGCACAAUUAGUUCAAAUUCUUUCAGAAGCGAAUGCUUUGGAAUAUUCCAUUCUUGUAGCAGCCACCGCUUCGGAUCCUGCUCCUCUGCAAUUUCUGGCCCCAUAUUCAGGGUGUGCCAUGGGGGAAUAUUUCCGCGAUAUGAAUGCACGCAUUAAUUAUAUAUGA